AAGUAAAUAUGGUCAUGUGUUUGUUUUGUUAAAACGAUAUUGGUAUUAGUAAAUAGGUGAAUUAUUAAUUAUAUUAUCACUUGUUUUCCAUAUUUAAACUGUAAUUAAUCAAAGUAAAUCUAUCCAUUAUUGUAGAAAAAUACGCUGGAAACAGAAUAUUAUAUCAAUAGACUACCUUAGCUCAACUAAGAAUAAACUGAGCAGGGGAUGAAUACCGUGGUGUGUUUUCAUGUAAUAAAAUAAAUCUGUUAAAAUUGUUCGUUAUGAUGGUUCCUGUACUUUAAAUAUAGUUUGUAAGUAAAUGAUUAGUCUGUUUGUCUUAAUAAA
This 327-nucleotide unclassified non-coding RNA is filed under the name Moritella viscosa. Its description in RNAcentral is "putative sRNA". The record is from RNAcentral. Lineage: Bacteria; Pseudomonadati; Pseudomonadota; Gammaproteobacteria; Alteromonadales; Moritellaceae.